AGGCGCGGCGCCGUCCGGCUGCUCGCCCUGGCUGCUCCCGCGCCGUGACGGCAAGCUGUCCCGGUUUCCCCCUCUGCGGUAACACCUCCCACCACUCCACCCCCCUUCCCACCCGGUGGCGCACAAGCGGUUUUCUUUCCCCCAGCUCGCGAUCCGUUUCCCGACGCCGUCGGCCCCAGGUCAGUGCUGCCGCCGCUGUUGCCGCCGACCGCUGGCCCGAGUUGCGACCCGAUCCACAUAAUGAGCGGGAAGUCAUCCAUUGGCUCGCCGUUGUCCGUUCAGAGCUCCGCGAGGUCGCUCCGCUCUCGUCGUCGUCGCCCCAGGUCAGUACCUGCCGUAGUGCCGCCACUGCCGUUGCCGUUGACCGCCGGCUGGAGUCCUGCGACCCGAUCCACCUAACGCGUGGGACCUCACCCAUUGGCCCCUGCCUUCCGCUCCGCUGAAGCUUCAUCCGCACGGCGCCGACUGGCUCAAGAGGCAAGAUUCACUGUGGCAGCUCGGCUCGUAAUCGUCACCAGAAGCUGUCGAUUUCUUCCGAGGUUUCCUCGCCACCCACCCCCUCCUCCAUCCGAUUCCCUGUGCUUCUCCCUGAUUUUCCAUAGAGGCUUGUGUAGGUAAUAGCUCUUUUUAAUUCCCGUGUGUACAAGAAGGAACAUCAAUAUCAAGCAGGUCGAACAGCACAGAUGGGUGAGGACAGAUCCCUCAGCUCCAUGCUAAGGUCUCUUCCUCAUCGGUUGUUUUUCAUUGGAGGCAAUAGUGAGAUCGAUGAACUGCUCAUUCCCCUUCCCCUGUUCUUUCCUGUAAUACAUCGGUCUCACAUUGACCAAGAUUGAACAACUAUCUGUAUCCUCUACAAAUCAAAGAUCUCGUGCACUAAAUUGCUCAAUUCCUCCGAUUCACCCUCUGUCCUCGAAUCCCCACAGCCACUGAUCCAUUCCUCUUCAUAUCAAUCUUUUCUGAAUCGAAUUAGUUUGCUUCUUUUUUCUAGGCACGGCAGCUAGUUAUUUAAGUAUUCAUGGAUUAAUUGAGUUGUUCAUAACUUAAUUUCGGGUUUGCAAUUUUGUUCAGGCUGUAAAUUUUGGUGAAAUCUUUUGUGACCACAUGGGUUACGUUGGAAAGGAAAUUCAGAUCCCAUGUAUAUGGAUCAGCGACGAUGGCCACACGAGUGUUGGACGGCCACACGGCAGCUUGCUGUUCCCUCACUGGAGCUGCACAUUUCUACAGAUGAGUCUUCACUGAUGUCGGUGCCCCUCUUUUCUCAAGUUCAUUUGUUUUCCCCUGCUGUUGCUAGAUUGCCCUUGUUUUUUUUUUUGAUAGGUAGAUUGCCCUUGUUGGUGGCGAUGAUUUGUGAUAAUGGUUUAGAGGUUGGACAAAGAAGUCAAGUAGGGGCAUGCCUGUUGGUGCUUUCAGUCAAUUAGCCUUGAUUACCCAUGUGCAUCUGCUGUACACCAUCCUAAGUGCUGGCUGCUGUUGUCUUCUCUGUCCAUUGUGAAGAUCAGCUACAAGAGCAAGAAUGAGAUGCGUAUGUGCUCAUAUGUGAGCUUACGUUCCUGAA
Molecule: long non-coding RNA, 1555 nt
Organism: Panicum virgatum (switchgrass)
Lineage: Eukaryota; Viridiplantae; Streptophyta; Magnoliopsida; Poales; Poaceae
Exons: 2
Source: RefSeq, a predicted model, not a curated record